AUUGAACGCUGGCGGAAUGCUUUACACAUGCGAGUCGAACGGUAGAGGGGGCAACCCCUCGAGAGUGGCGAACGGGUGAGUAAUAUAUCGGAACGUGCCCAGUCGUGGGGGAUAACGUAGCGAAAGUUACGCUAAUACCGCAUACGAUCUAAGGAUGAAAGCGGGGGAUCGCAAGACCUCGCGCGAUUGGAGCGGCCGAUAUCAGAUUAGGUAGUUGGUGGGGUAAAGGCUCACCAAGCCAACGAUCUGUAGCUGGUCUGAGAGGACGACCAGCCACACUGGAACUGAGACACGGUCCAGACUCCUACGGGAGGCAGCAGUGGGGAAUUUUGGACAAUGGACGCAAGUCUGAUCCAGCCAUUCCGCGUGCAGGAUGAAGGCCCUCGGGUUGUAAACUGCUUUUGUACGGAACGAAAAGGUCUCUCUUAAUACGGGGGACUCAUGACGGUACCGUAAGAAUAAGCACCGGCUAACUCCGUGCCAGCAGCCGCAGUAA
Molecule: ribosomal RNA, 496 nt
Filed under: uncultured bacterium
Lineage: Bacteria
Description: partial 16S ribosomal RNA
Rfam family: Bacterial small subunit ribosomal RNA
Source: RNAcentral